GGAUCUGGCAGCAUCAGUGUCCGUGACAGGCAGCCCUUGGUGGGAGUUUAAUUUCUCGGCUUCCUGAAAGAUUUCCAAUAACGGCCGUGGAGCAGCAAGUAUCACAGCAGCUUCAGCCACCGAGCAAUCACCGACUCUUUGUGGAUCACACCAUAUUUCCUUUUGUUCAGCCAGCCUUAGGACGGGUAGUUUCCGUUCUGCUGACUGGACACUGUCCAGUAUACACGUUUAUAAGGCCCUGAAAGCAGCAGAUCUCACCUGCAUUGGAGGAUGAGACGCCACAUGAAGAAGAAAGAAGACGCCACAGACAGCAGCGCAGUACCACCUUCCAGAGAUGUGAGUGUGACCGUCUUUGACCUUCUAGCCCAGCUGCUUUCCCUGAAUGCAAUGCAUGAGCAGGCCAGGCAAAACUAGAGAGGGAAGCUGCCCAGCUAACCCACAGAAUUAUGAGAGAUAAAAAAUCAUUGUCUUAAGCCACUAAGUCUGUUAUGCAGCAAUAUAUAGCAUUCAUUCAA
Molecule: long non-coding RNA, 515 nt
Filed under: Homo sapiens (human)
Lineage: Eukaryota; Metazoa; Chordata; Mammalia; Primates; Hominidae
Description: long intergenic non-protein coding RNA 2363
Source: RNAcentral